This 723-nucleotide ribosomal RNA is filed under the name Triticum aestivum (bread wheat). Its description in RNAcentral is "partial small subunit ribosomal RNA". Lineage: Eukaryota; Viridiplantae; Streptophyta; Magnoliopsida; Poales; Poaceae. The record is from RNAcentral.
AUUCCAUGCACUACCACUAACAUGCAGCUGUUCAACGCCUCCACAACUGUCAAGCUUGGUGACGGUCAAAGUGCUAAAUUCUGGAGUAGCUCAUGGCUAAAUGGUUCUGCACCUAAGGACAUCGCCCCAAACCUACAUAAGCUUGCAAGGCGGAAAAAUGCCUCGGUGGCGGCUGCUCUCCAUCGAGGCCGCUGGAUGAAAGGAAUCGAGCAACUUAGCACCACUGAGGAUCUGAUCAGUUUCAUUGACCUUUGGCACCGGAUACAAGGGGUUAACCUCUCGAAUCAACCGCAUGACAUUGAGUGGAAAUGGAACGACAACAAAUCAUACACUGCUGCCACUGCUUAUGAUGCCCAAUUCAUCGGAACCAUUGCGAAGCCUGAGCUGAAUGCCCUUUGAAAAGCAAAGGUGGAGGGAAAGAUCAAAUUCUUUGGUUGGCUUCUGUCUCAAAAUAGACUGCCAACUGCUGAUCGUCUUCGCGCGAGAGGAUGUGAACACAACGACACCUGCUCCCUCUGCGACCAAACGAUUGAGACUGCCGCUCAUCUGAUCUGUGGCUGCCCUUUUGCAAAGGAAGUGUGGCAGAAGAUCAACACCAUGCUGCCUAACAUUCAACUUCAAGCAACCUUGCCGUUCACCUCCAUCGCAACCUGGUGGAGAAGUUUUGCCUAUGGGCAGCAGAAAAAGGCAGCAGCUGCGCUAUACUUUGCUUGGAAUAUUUGA